GGGUCAAUGAUGAGAACUCACAUUGUCUUGAAGAGAGGUGAUGACUCAAACAUAAUCCUCAGAAUCAGUCUGAGGCCC
Molecule: small nucleolar RNA, 78 nt
Organism: Molossus molossus (Pallas's mastiff bat)
Lineage: Eukaryota; Metazoa; Chordata; Mammalia; Chiroptera; Molossidae
Product: small nucleolar RNA SNORD115
Exons: 1
Source: RefSeq, a predicted model, not a curated record